This 243-nucleotide long non-coding RNA is filed under the name Ananas comosus (pineapple). Its description in RNAcentral is "long non-coding RNA (ACOM_LNC026811)". Lineage: Eukaryota; Viridiplantae; Streptophyta; Magnoliopsida; Poales; Bromeliaceae. The record is from RNAcentral.
UAGAGAUGCAAUCAAUCUAGGAGAAAUUUAAAUAUAGCAUUGUUAGGGCAUGGAUUUUGGGGCUUUUGCCUCCGAUUGUUUUCGAGAUAAAUUGAUCUCUUGGAAACCUAAUUGGGGGUAUUCCCGACGCGUGGGACAACUCCGUUUAACGUUACGAAAAUGUUAAGUAAGAGAUCUUGUAUAUAGGGCCUAAUUUGGUUUUAUUUUGGGUUUAGGUCGCGGGAAAGGCGUUCUAAAAUCACG